CAUGCAGGAAGACAGGUAGGAGGAGAUCAUCUGGCAAAGAGAUUUGCAGAGUGUCGGGUGACCGGCAAAGAGAUCUGCAAAGUGUCAGUUGAAGACGACGGAACGGGUCGCAGAGGAAUUAGUGACUGGAGAAUAGCAUGCAGGAGUGGGUGAUCCCUGAAUAGCUGCCCUGGGAGGAGAGCUGCGGA
This is a long non-coding RNA of Pseudophryne corroboree (corroboree frog), 188 nucleotides long. RefSeq lists it as uncharacterized. The transcript is spliced from 3 exons. NCBI's taxonomy places the organism in Eukaryota, Metazoa, Chordata, Amphibia, Anura, Myobatrachidae. The record is from RefSeq and is a predicted model, not a curated record.